RNAcentral lists this ribosomal RNA (230 nucleotides) under uncultured bacterium. Its description in RNAcentral is "partial 16S ribosomal RNA". It matches the Rfam family "Bacterial small subunit ribosomal RNA", at positions 333 to 577 of the family's 1533-position model. The record is from RNAcentral.
AUGAACCUACGGGGGGCAGCAGUGGGGGAUAUUGGACAAUGGGGGGAACCCUGAUCCAGCGACGCCGCGUGAGUGAAGAAGUAUUUCGGUAUGUAAAGCUCUGUCAGCAGGGAAGAAAGCAAUGACGGUACCUGACCAAGAAGCCCCGGCUAACUACGAGCAAGCAGCCGCGGUAAUACGUAGGGGGCAAGCGUUAUCCGGAAUUACUGGGUGUAAAGGGAGCGUAGACG